This 571-nucleotide ribosomal RNA is filed under the name uncultured Actinomycetes bacterium. Its description in RNAcentral is "SSU rRNA". It matches the Rfam family "Bacterial small subunit ribosomal RNA", at positions 334 to 915 of the family's 1533-position model. Lineage: Bacteria; Bacillati; Actinomycetota; Actinomycetes. The record is from RNAcentral.
GACUCUUACGGGAGGCAGCAGUGGGGAAUAUUGCACAAUGGGCGAAAGCCUGAUGCAGCGACGCCGCGUGAGGGAUGACGGCCUUCGGGUUGUAAACCUCUUUCAGCAGGGAAGAAGCGCAAGUGACGGUACCUGCAGAAGAAGCACCGGCUAACUACGUGCCAGCAGCCGCGGUAAUACGUAGGGUGCGAGCGUUGUCCGGAAUUAUUGGGCGUAAAGAGCUCGUAGGCGGCUUGUCGCGUCGGAUGUGAAAGCCCGGGGCUUAACUCCGGGUCUGCAUUCGAUACGGGCAGGCUAGAGUGUGGUAGGGGAGAUCGGAAUUCCUGGUGUAGCGGUGAAAUGCGCAGAUAUCAGGAGGAACACCGGUGGCGAAGGCGGAUCUCUGGGCCAUUACUGACGCUGAGGAGCGAAAGCGUGGGGAGCGAACAGGAUUAGAUACCCUGGUAGUCCACGCCGUAAACGUUGGGAACUAGGUGUGGGUCACAUUCCACGUGGUCCGCGCCGCAGCUAACGCAUUAAGUUCCCCGCCUGGGGAGUACGGCCGCAAGGCUAAAACUCAAAGGAAUUGACG